AGGAGAUAAAGCAGAAAAACAGCGAUGAAAGGAGAAAAUGUGACGAGGAAGAAGAGCAGAUAAUUCUGUAAGUUGUUUUGUGUCUCUUUGUGGUUGUUUUUUGUGUAUUUAUGGUUGUUGUGCAUCUCUUUGUGGUUAUUUUGCAUCUUUUUGUGGUUGUUUUGCAUCUCUUUGCGGUCAUUUUUCGUCUCUCUGUGGUUGUUUUUUGUUUAUUUCUGGUUUGGUUGUUUUGUGUCUCUUUGCGGCUGUUUUGUGUCUUUGUGGUUGUUUUGUGUCUCUGUGGCUGUUUUGUGUCUUUUGUGGUUGUUUUUUGUCUUUGUGGUUGUUUUGUGUCUAUGUAUUUGUUUUGUGUCUUUUUGUGGUUGUUUUGUGUCUUUUUGUAUUUGUUUUGUGUCUCUUUGUGGUUGUUUUGUGUCUCGUUGCAGUUGUUUUGUGUCUCUCUGUGGCUGUUUUAUGUGUCUCUGGUUGCUUUGUCUGUCUUUGCGGUUGUUUUUUGCCUCUCUGUGCUUGUUUUUUGUUUAUUUCUGGCUGUUUUGUGUCUCUGCGGUUGUUUUGCAUCUUUGUGGCCUCUUUCUGUUUCAUCUGUUAAAUAUGGUGUCUGGCCGAUCAGAAGCCUCAUGUCGGAGCUCCGGAGGGAAUGAAAGGACGGAUGAAGGAGGAGGGAGGGAACACUGAGGAGAUAAAGCACAAAAACGGCGAUGAAAGGAGAAAACGUGACGGGGAAGAGGAGCAGAUAAUUCUCUAAGAGCAGAUCGGAGGACGGACGGAGGAGAGACGAGCUCAGAAUUAAAUCUGGUGUCAAACAAAAAGCUGCUUAAUGGUCUGUGAAAUAAACAACAAACAGAGACACGUGAGCAGAAUGAGGACCAGGCAGCAGAUCUGAGCUGUUAAGACGUCUGCUGACCUUCUCUGAGGUGAAGCUCCAACAGCUGCAGCUCUGAAGAUACUGAGGUUUUACAGUAACACGCCUCUCUGAGGGAUUUAAAGGUCACCGCCGCUAUCUGAACAUUCAGCAUUCACACCGCUCCAAGAUAAAACGGUUUAAAGGCGAACCGAGGAAAUCUAGAAGAACUGAACCGAGGAAAUCUACAAGAACUGAACCGAGGAGACGAAUAAACCGAGAGAUCGAGCGAAGCUGAACGUUCAGAAGGAUUUCUACUAAACUGUCACCAGUAAAAGAAGCUGAAUUAUCAGUGAGAAGCUCCAGUGUGUCAUCAGUCCUGUAUGUCCAGUACAGUCUACUGCAGUCUUUAAACGGUAGUCUGACACAUAGAAUAACCAAAACUAGACACAAAACAAAACGAGAUACAAAACAGCAAGGACACAGAACUGUCCUAAACACACACAACCCAACCAAAAAUGAGACGCAAAACAACACAAAAUGAGAAAAACAUGACAGAAAACAACAAAAAUCUGAUAAAGAAUGACUGCAAAGAUGCAAAACUGACCCAAAGACACACAAAACAACACAAAAUGAAACACAAAACAGCACAAAUUGAAAAAACACAAGAGACAAAAUAAUAUAAAAUGUGACAAAACAGCAUAAAAGACACAGAAAUGUCCUAAAGACACCAAAAAAACCAACAAUGAGACACAAAACAACACAAAAUAUUUUUUAAAAAACACGAGAUAAAACGACACAAAAUGAGAAAAAUGUGACGGAAAACAUCAAAAACAAGAUAUAAAACGACCACAAAGAUGCAAAACUGUCCCAAAGACAUAAAACAACUAAAACAAGACAACAUUAAAUGAGACACAAAACAGCAUAAAAGACACAGAACUGUCCAAAAGACACCAAAACUACCAAAAAUGAAAAAUAACAAGAGACCUAACGACAAAGAAUUUGAAAAAUGUGACAGAAAACAUCAAAAACAAGAUACAAAAUGACCCCAAAAACACAAAACUGUCCCAAAGACAAAUAAAACAACUAAAACAAGAAAGAAAAGAACACAAAAUGAGACACAAAACAGCAUAAAGGACAAUUAACUGUCCCAGUCACAUAAAACAAUCAAAACUGAGACACAAAUCAUCACAAUUUCAGAAAAAUGUGACAGAAAACAACAAAAAUCAGAUAAAGAAUGACUGCAAAGAUGCAAAACUGACCCAAAGAUGCACAAAACAACACAAGAUGAGACACAAAACAGCAUAAAGGACACAGACAACAACAGGACAAAGACUCUCCUAAAGACACAUAAAAUUACUGGAAAUGAGACAAAAACGUGACAGAAAACAACAAAAAUCAGACACAAAUUAACCACAAAAGUGCCUAACUGACCCAAAGACACGUAAAACUAAUAACAAAAAAAGACAAAACAACACAGAAACUGUUCAGACUUCAGAGGGUUCAUUUAUAUUUGUGUUUCCAUGUGGUUGUUUCUGACAUUGUUCUAAUUAAAUAUAAGUUACAGCAGCUUUAGAAAGCUCAGAUCUGAAAAUAGGACACAGAUUCCAGAAAGUUUAAUGAACCUUUUAGCUGGUUGUGAUUUUAAAUUCAUAGAAAAUCAGCGGCUGAACGUCUGCAGAGGAAACGAGGAGAACAGAACGGAGACUCUGUUCGCCUCCACAGCCCAACUCAUAAAGUUUAAUUUAAAGCUGAGCAAACAAACCGAGGGCGGAACCUCAUUCAGCAGAUUCAUAAAGGAAACGAGCAGCGAGGUCACCAGGUUCAGAGCAGGACGCCUCAACUCGGACUGGAAUUAAAGAGAAACUUUCACCGAGACGACGAGGAGAAACGUCUGAAUGAAAGGCAGCAGAGAGAGGAACGAAAUCAUCCAUCAGAGAAAACAUGAAGACGUUCUGCUGCACAAAGCUGCUCUAACUGGAUUCAUCUGCUGCUUCACAAAUAUCUCAUAAUACCAAGGAACACAACAUGUAGUCAUCUGGAACUGAAGCAUAGAGGAUUUACUGGAGGAUCAGAACCACAAAAUCAGACAAAAAAAGGCAAAAAACAAGACAAAAUAUUACAAAAAUGAGACACAAAACGACCAAAAUAGACAAAUGAUGCAAGCGAGACAAAAAACAAGACAGAAUGACAAAAAUGAGAAACAGAACGACAAAAACGUGAGACAAGCAACAAAAAUCAGACAAAACAAGACAAAAGAUUACAAAAAUGAGACACAAAACAACAAAAGAACAAUGAGCAAUCUAGUAUUUUACUUUAUGAUCAAAAUGACAAAAAAAAGACAAAUAACAACAAAAACAAGACGAAAUAUUUCAAUAACGACACAAAACUACAAAAACACGAGACAAACGACCAAAGUCAGGCAAAAAAAAGAAUAAAAACAAUACAAAAUAUUACAAAAAUGAGACACAAAACGGAAAAAAAAUAGACAAAUGACGCAAGUGAGACAAAAAGGAACCACAAAAUGAGACAAAUGAAAAACAUAAAAACAUGAGACAAGCAACAAAAGUCAGACAAAAAAGACAAAAAAACAAGACAAAAUAUUACAUAAAUUAAACAAAAUAACCACAACUCCAAAUCUUUCCUUUGUUUUAGUGCAAAAAAAUACGUUUAAGGAAUUAUCUACUAAACACCAUGAACAACCUGAAAUUGCACCAGAAAAAUAAGUUAAAUUUCAGCAACAUUCAGCCUCAAUUCAUCAUUUCCACAUUACAACUUCCAGAUCACAGAGUGUCUACAACGGAACACAACAUUAGUCUAGGUUCGCCCCCCGAUCUUUGGCUCAUGAAAGCCAAAGGUCGGCAACUUGAGCGGCUUUACAGAAAAACUGGUCUCACUAUUCACAAAGAAAUGCACAAUAACCACAUCAUACGCUGUAAGGACACCACUGCCAACACCAAAACCCACUACUACUCCAGUAUGAUCUCUGCAAAUGAAGGAAACAGAAAUCACUCAGAAAUCCAUCCACCUUAGAGCUGGACCCUCACCCCCUCACACACCUGGUGCCGACCCCUCCAACUUCAACAACUACCGUCCUAUCUCCAAAUCUACCUUUCAUCUCCAAAAUCCUGGAAAAAAACUAUUGCCUCCCAACUCCGCUCUCACCUAUGCCAUAAUAACCUGCAUGAACAGUGCAGUCCGGUUUCCAUCCAAUCCACAGCACAGAAACAGCACUCAUCAGAACCACCCACGACCUCCUGAUGGCAGCUGAUUGUGGACUCCUCACCAGCCUUUGAUACCGUCUACCACCCUCCUCACCAGACUACCUUCCACUGGCAUCACGCACACUCCAGAAGACUGCUUCACCUCUUACCUCUCUGGCCGCACUCAGUUCAUGCAGCUCUAAUCCUUUAAAUCCAUCCCUUCUCCCGUCACCACAGGUGUUCCCCAGGGUUCUGUGCUGGGGCCCCUCCUCUUCAUCAUUUACCUCCUUCCUCUCUGCAAUACAAGGGGUCCUUGACUUAGGUCGGAAUUCUGUUCCUACAGCGCAAGAUAAAAGAAGAAUUGGCAUCAGAGGAUUUGAUCUCUGACUGAACCGAAGCUGCCUGAAGGAAGAAAAUCAAUCUGGAGAUGAAAACCUCAUCUUUCUGCUCUGUUGUUGAAAACUGCAGGUGUUGAAGCGUCUCUGAGGAAACAACAGCUGGACGGAGGAGGAUGAAGGACACGGGGAGUCUGAAACAUCUGGAUGCUGAGGAUGAUGAAGAGGAUGAUGAAGGUUUGCCAGUAAAAACAUUUAAUGUUGGGAUUAUGAUUAAACUGUAGAUAUUGUUUAAGGUUGAUAUUAUUUAAUAAAUGCCACCUUUUGAACAGAAAUACACAUUUUGUUUACUAAUUCUACUUCCAGCUACUGUCUAUCAUCGUUUUCUGAAAGUUUAAAACCAAAAAGCAUCAUUAUUCACUACUGUUAGCCAAACAACGAUAGUGCUAGUCGCUACGUUAGCCUCAGCAAGUAAUGUGUUAGCCAAAACACGAUAAUGUCCGUCAUUACGUCAGACCAGUUCAAGUAAUGGUAGCUGCUACAUUAGCGUUGGCAAGCUACAUUUGUCACUACAUGGCCUAACUGAGAAAAAUUAGCCACUACGUUAGCCUGAACAGCAACAUUAGCCACUGCAUUAGCCUAAACAAGAUAAUGUUAUCCACUAUGUUAGCCUGAAUGAGAUAAUGUUAGUCCAUUAAAUUAGUCUAAACAAUCUGUUAGCCGUUACAUUAGCCUAAACAAGGAUUGUUAGCCUCUAUGUUAGCCAAAACUAGAUAACAGUAGCUGCUCUUCAGUGCUAGCAAGCCACAUUUGCAACUACAUGUCCUAAGUAAAAUUAGCCAUUAUGUUAGCCUGAACAGCAGCAUUACCAAAUGCAUUAGCCUAAAUGAGCAAUGUUAGCCCAAAUGAGCUAAUGUUAGUCAAUACCAUAGCCAGAAAAAGCAAUGAUGGUCACUAUGCUAGCCAUAACGAGUAACAUUAGUCACUGCAUUAGCCUAAACAAGUAAAAUUAACCACUACAGUAGCUUGAACUAAAAACAUUAUCCAAUAAUCCAAACAACAUGUUGGCCACUACAUUAGCCUAAACAAGGAUUGUUAGCCACACUGUUAGCUGAAACAAAGUAUUGUUCACAACUAUAUUAGCCAAAACAAGAUAACGUUAGCCACUUUGUUAGCCUCUAUGUCAGUAAAAACAUGAUAAAGAUAGCCACUACGACAGUCACUGUGCCAUCUGAAACAAAAUUAUGUCAAAACAAGAUAAUUCCAGUCGCUACAUUCAUCUGAAAAAGUAAUGGUAGCCGCAUUAGCGUUAGCAAGUCAUAGCUGGCACUACGUAAGUAAAAUUAGCGCUUAUGUUAGCCUGAACAGCAGCAUUAGCCUAAACAAGGAUUGUUACCUACAAGCUGAAACGAGGUAUUGUUAGCAACUAUAUUAGCCAAAACAAGAUAAUGUUAGCCACUGUGUUAGCCUGAAUGAGAUAUUGUUAGUCCAUUAAAUUAGUCUAAACAACACGUUAGAGACUACAUUAGUGAAAUUAGCGCUUAGGUUAGCCUGAACAGCAGCGUUAGCCUAAACAAGAUGUAAGACCAUCUCAGCAUUUUCAGGCUGCUGCCGCCAUCAUUGUUGCCAUGGUUACAGAAGCACACUGCACCAAAAUACACACAGAUUUAUCCCAGAAUGUUGCCCUGAACUGAAUCUGAAUCCGUGUGUGUGUGUGCGUGUGUGUGUGUGUGUGUGUG
Molecule: long non-coding RNA, 6118 nt
Organism: Amphiprion ocellaris (clown anemonefish)
Lineage: Eukaryota; Metazoa; Chordata; Actinopteri; Pomacentridae
Exons: 3
Source: RefSeq, a predicted model, not a curated record